This is a long non-coding RNA of Panthera uncia (snow leopard), 2424 nucleotides long. RefSeq lists it as uncharacterized. The transcript is spliced from 3 exons. Lineage: Eukaryota; Metazoa; Chordata; Mammalia; Carnivora; Felidae. The record is from RefSeq and is a predicted model, not a curated record.
CUUACCGUGAAGCCGCGGACCGAGCCGGAAGCGGAGGCCAGGAUGGUGCGUGGCACAUGGUUGCUGCCCAGUACUUGUCUGAGUUUGCUGCCUCAUGGACCCAGUGAGAAUUAAGACCUCUGCUCUUCAAGAUACUGUCUUCAACUUCUGGAUGUGUCAGGUGGGGAGUAGCAUUUCUUUCAGACGCUUCUCUUUUGGCAUUUUUUUCUAGGUUCCCCUACUCCUUUCCAGAAGGCUCAGUGAAUUUCUCACAUUUUAUUGUUGGAGAGAAAGCCAGCUCCUUGCUAGGCUACAGAGAGUGGAGAAGGAAUGAGCUUGCAGGGCUGUGCCCUAGAGAUUUAUCUCUCAGUUGUUUCCCAAGAUAGGAACUUUCUUUUAAGAAAAUCUCUCUUUUCUUUUGUUUUCAUUCUUGUACUGCUUCUAAUCUGAUGUAGCAGGUUUCCAAAGUUCUGUUUCUUUCUGGACUUCCUGAGCACAUGUGAUUCCUUAAGACAGUGUUUCAGGCGCAGGCUUUUCUCAUUUCCUUCUUAACCUUUGUGGCUACGGUAAUUUCAUUGAGUGUUUUUUCUGCUUCAAGUCUAGAAAGAUGACAUAUUUUAUUUCUAAUAAGGGCAUUUUUGUUAUAAAUAAAAUCCACCACCUUUUUAAGAUUGAAGCUGCAUUGUAAGUGUCAGAACUAUAAAACCAUAGCCAGAAUUAUUGACAUACAGGCCAGCAAGUGGGGAGUGACCCUUAAACCAACUAGAAAAACACCACAUGAGUUGUUCUGGUUUUGUCCUUUGGCCUUGAGUCUAGCUCAGAUGCAACUGGGGACAGCCUUUUCAUGUUGCCUGCUGGGCUGGGACUACCAAUAAAGUUUGGAGCUUACACAUGUUUGUGUUCCUUAGCUAAGGAAAGCUGGCCUGUCAAACUAGCUAAAAAAACAGUAAAGGACCAAAUACUUGUUUUGCCCCAAUAUCUAAAAGGUGUGUGUAGGGAAAGACUUCCUGUAGUCAAAUCUAUGCCUCAGCAGGGCCUGCUCGCUAGGGUCUUUUCUGCUGCUUAGGCUUUGCAGAUGCCCCAUAAGGGAAGGCAGUAGGUCUGUGCUAAGGCCAAGGUCAGUGCCCAUACCUUAGCUCUUAUAUUCAUAAACCAUAGUGCUUGCACAAGGACAGUGCCUUUGCUGAACCAUGUGACUGGCAUUUCAUUAAGGUAUUCAUUCAUCCCUGCUUGUCUAUAAAAUCAGGUUUAUGGGGCCCCUGGGUGGCUCAGUUGGUUAAGUGUCCCAACUCUUGAUUUCGGCUCAGGUCAUGAUCUCAUGGUUUGUGAGUUUGAGCCCUGUGUCUGGUUCUGUGCUGACAGUGUGGAGCCUGCUUGGGAUUCUCUCUCUUUGCCCCUCCCCGACUUGUGCUUGCUCUCUCUCUCUCUCUCUCUCUAAAUAAAUAAAUAAAUAAACAAACAUGUAAAAUCAGGUUUAUAAAAACACUUGCCUAUGAACAAAGUACCCGGCGUUCAGCAUGGCCAACCUGAAAAGUGUUUGAAAUGCCUCAAGUGCUAGUCCCACCAGGGCCUCAACUUGUAUGUGAUGUUUCGCUCCCCACAUUCUUCACUGGAUCUCCUUUUUCUUAUGUUCUUUGCCACAUCAUCAGAUCCUAACAUUCCUUUGAAUACGACAUCUUCCAGCCCUGCCAAAGGGCAGAGCCUGUUCCUGUAAAACUUACAACACAGAGCAGCAGAACCUGUGGGCAGGGGGUUCCCAAAAGAAGGAAAGGAAGAAGAGGCCAAGAAGAUUCAGCCAGGAGAGGAGAGGUGUGGCAAGAGACCAGGAGUGUUUAGAAGAAAUCCUUCUUCAUGGACUCAAGGAGUCAGUCCAAGAACUGAAAAAAUAACUCUGGUUUCAACAUGUGUGUUUGGGAAAUGGUUAAGAGGUUGACUUAAAGAAGAGAAUGCAUUCAUUUGGGAUGUGGUGAGUUUGGAGUGAUGGUAAGACAUUCAAGCAGAAGUAGCUUGGUGGUGGUUGGAUCAAGUUCGGUGGGAGUUAUCAAAGUGGUGAUAGUUGGAAAUCUGUCAGUGAGGAACUGAUCAUGGGAAAGAAUGCAGAGAGAAGGUAAGGUCAAAGACCUUCCUUUGUCAAAGAAUAGUAUAAAAACUUUAUGUAUAUUGGGGCACCUGGUUGACUCAGUUGGAUAAGUGUCCAUCUCUGGAUUUUGACUCAGGUCAUGAUCUCACAGUUCAUGGGUUCGAGCCCCAUGGGUGCGGAGCCUGCUUGGGAUUCUCUCUCCCUCCCUUUCUGCCCCUCCCCUGCUCGCUUUCUGUCUCAAAAUAAACUUAAGUUUUUUCAGACUUUAUGUAUGUAUAUAAAGGGGGUGACUGGCUGGCUCUGUUGGAAAGCAGGCAACUCUUUUUUUUUUUUUUUUUUUCUAACUUUUUAACAUUUAAUUCAUU